AUUAAGUUUAAUUUAAUAUAGGAUCUGCUCAAUGAUUUAUUAAAUAGCUGCAGUAUUUUGACUGUGCAAAGGUAGCAUAAUAAUUAGUCUUUUAAUUGAGGACUUGUAUGAAAGAUUUGAUGAAAAAUAAACUUUAUUAUUUAUAUAAUUAAAAUUUUAUUUUUAAGUAAAAAAGCUUAAAUUAUUUAAAGGGACGAUAAGACCCUAUAAAACUUUAUAAAUAUUAGUUUUAAUUUUUUUGGGUUUAUAAAUAUUUUAAUUUUAUUAUUUAUUUUAUUGGGGUGAUAAAAAAAAUUAUUUAACUUUUUUUAAAAUUUUACAUAAUUUAAUGAAUAUUUGAAUUAAAAAUUUUAAUUAUAGGAAAAAGUUACUUUAGGGAUAACAGCGUAAUUAAUUUUUUAAGUUCAAAUUUGAAAAUUAGUUUGCGACCUCGAUGUUGAAUUAAGAUUAAUCUUAGGUGCAAAAUUUUAAGUAUUAGGUCUGUUCGACCUUUAAAUUCUUACGUGA
This 507-nucleotide ribosomal RNA is filed under the name Uroleucon sonchi. RNAcentral describes it as "partial 16S ribosomal RNA". The record is from RNAcentral. Lineage: Eukaryota; Metazoa; Arthropoda; Insecta; Hemiptera; Aphididae.